RNAcentral lists this ribosomal RNA (504 nucleotides) under uncultured bacterium. RNAcentral's name for it is "partial 16S ribosomal RNA". It matches the Rfam family "Bacterial small subunit ribosomal RNA", at positions 29 to 523 of the family's 1533-position model. The record is from RNAcentral.
AUUGAACGCUGGCGGCAGGCCUAACACAUGCAAGUCGAACGGUAGCACAGAGAGCUUGCUCUCGGGUGACGAGUGGCGGACGGGUGAGUAACGUCUGGGAAACUGCCCGAUGGAGGGGGAUAACUACUGGAAACGGUAGCUAAUACCGCAUAACGUCGCAAGACCAAAGUGGGGGACCUUCGGGCCUCACACCAUCGGAUGGGACCAGAUGGGAUUAGCUAGUAGGUGGGGUAAUGGCUCACCUAGGCGACGAUCCCUAGCUGGUCUGAGAGGAUGACCAGCCACACUGGAACGGAGACACGGUCCAGACUCCUACGGGAGGCAGCAGUGGGGAAUAUUGCACAAUGGGCGCAAGCCUGAUGCAGCCAUGCCGCGUGUAUGAAGAAGGCCUUCGGGUUGUAAAGUACUUUCAGCGGGGAGGAAGGCGGUGAAGUUAAUAGCUUCACCGAUUGACGUUACCCGCAGAAGAAGCACCGGCUAACUCCGUGCCAGCCGCCGCCGUAA